UACGUAGGCAGCGAGCGUUGUUCGGAGUUACUGGGCGUAAAGGGUGUGUAGGCGGUUGUUUAGGUUUGGUGUGAAAUCUCCCGGCUCAACUGGGAGGGUGCGCCGAAUACUGAAUGACUUCGAGUGCGGGAGAGGAAAGUGGAAUUCCUGGUGUAGCGGUGAAAUGCGUAGAUAUCAGGAAGAACACCCGUGGCUAAGGCGGCUCUCUAGUACGGUACUGACGCUGAGACGCGAAAGCGUGGGGAGCGAACAGG
This 254-nucleotide ribosomal RNA is filed under the name uncultured bacterium. RNAcentral's name for it is "partial 16S ribosomal RNA". It matches the Rfam family "Bacterial small subunit ribosomal RNA", at positions 524 to 776 of the family's 1533-position model. The record is from RNAcentral.